This 262-nucleotide long non-coding RNA is filed under the name Hordeum vulgare. RNAcentral's name for it is "long non-coding RNA (HVUL_LNC003905)". Lineage: Eukaryota; Viridiplantae; Streptophyta; Magnoliopsida; Poales; Poaceae. The record is from RNAcentral.
AGGGCGUGUUUGGUUCGUUGUAUUGCAUCUGGCUCGCACCCACCAUGCAAAAUAUAGAUUGUUUGGUAUGCUGUAUGUGUAGUUGGACCUGGCCCGACAGAUGCAAAAAUCGCCUCCGGGCCAGGCUGCGGGGAAACGCAAGUUCGGGCCGUUUCCACGAGCCUGCACCCGCGCGUGCAGCGACCCGCGCGUGCAUCGCUCUCGCCUGGAGGAUAGGGUUCCCUCCCGACGCGCCGCUCUCGUCCGCUCUCGUCCUCGCGCN